UGAGAACAGUUGUGGAAGACAUCAAUCCUCGCCACCCCCCGCCUCCACAGGAUCAAAAGGCCACCAGACAGCCCCUGGGACUCGACUGCAUAGGUCUCCCAGUCCCUCCCCAGGCGUCGCCUCAGUCGACCAAGCCCAUCACCAGACAAACGUGUCUCGCAGAGAAAACAAAUCUCAGGACAGUGGAGCUGUACUAGCCGUUUAAAGGAGGACAUGAAGGCCGACUUGGCCGCCCCCCUACAAUUCCAGGCUAGAAUCCUCAUGGAUCAACAACUGCUCGGUCGGCCUCAAGUACAUCCUCCCCCUGGGCCUCGGGAGCUAGCUCA
RNAcentral lists this long non-coding RNA (326 nucleotides) under Phoenix dactylifera (date palm). RNAcentral describes it as "long non-coding RNA (PDAC_LNC003257)". Lineage: Eukaryota; Viridiplantae; Streptophyta; Magnoliopsida; Arecales; Arecaceae. The record is from RNAcentral.